This is a long non-coding RNA of Balaenoptera musculus (blue whale), 688 nucleotides long. RefSeq lists it as uncharacterized. NCBI's taxonomy places the organism in Eukaryota, Metazoa, Chordata, Mammalia, Artiodactyla, Balaenopteridae. The record is from RefSeq and is a predicted model, not a curated record. The transcript has 6 exons.
UGUCUGAUGCACAGGAAAGGGUACAAACUUAAGUCAGUGCUUCAGUGAGUGCGUUGAUUUGACCAGAAGAACCAGAGUUUUCCUAUUGUUGCCCCAUCACUAGCUGCUCCAGAAACCAGGUCUCAUUAUAUAUACUUAGAGGCAAAUAUACAGCACUCUCUUUCAGACUGAUGGUCAGAAAGAUUCUGGGCUUAGCAAAGAAGCAGAUAAUGAGAGGAAAAAUCAAGGAGAGCAGAGUUGGAGUCAAUUCAUCGUUGUUAAGAAUCUUCAUGGCAGAAACGCUGGCAGCACCAGCCGUGAGAUUCCAGUUGAAGGUGAAAGGAAGAAAGUCUUAUUUUCAUCCUCCUGGAGAAAUAAGGACUACAAAUGGAUUGGACCUGGGGAAAAAAUGUGCUGGAAUUUCUGUGUUGGACUCCUGGACUUCCACAAAGGCUCUCUUGUCUUAGGGACAACUGCAUAAAGGCAGGAAAUACAGUCAUGCUCACCACAAUAUUUAUAUUGUUUGGCAUAAGAUUAAAUUAAAUGAGAACAAAUAUAGGUCACCUGAUGAAGUACCAAGUACAUAUUUGGCAACAUAUGAAGGGACUUUCUGAGACACCAUAUUCUCUCUGAAGACCACAGCCAGGAUCCUAGAAAGCUGGCAGAGGCCAACGGAGGCAACUGUUUGAACCUGCCCUUUGGAACUCAG